UGGGGUGUCGCCAAGCGGUAAGGCACUGGAUUUUGAUUCCAGUAUCCGUAGGUUCGAAUCCUGCCACCCCAGCCA
This 75-nucleotide transfer RNA is filed under the name Clostridiales bacterium. RNAcentral describes it as "tRNA-Gln". It matches the Rfam family "tRNA". From Rfam's summary of the family: Transfer RNA (tRNA) molecules are approximately 80 nucleotides in length. Their secondary structure includes four short double-helical elements and three loops (D, anti-codon, and T loops). Further hydrogen bonds mediate the characteristic L-shaped molecular structure. tRNAs have two regions of fundamental functional importance: the anti-codon, which is responsible for specific mRNA codon recognition, and the 3' end, to which the tRNAs corresponding amino acid is attached (by aminoacyl-tRNA synthetases). tRNAs cope with the degeneracy of the genetic code in two manners: having more than one tRNA (with a specific anti-codon) for a particular amino acid; and 'wobble' base-pairing, i.e. permitting non-standard base-pairing at the 3rd anti-codon position. The record is from RNAcentral. Lineage: Bacteria; Bacillati; Bacillota; Clostridia; Eubacteriales.